Molecule: ribosomal RNA, 156 nt
Filed under: Magnicamarosporium diospyricola
Lineage: Eukaryota; Fungi; Ascomycota; Dothideomycetes; Pleosporales; Sulcatisporaceae
Description: 5.8S ribosomal RNA
Rfam family: 5.8S ribosomal RNA
About the family: 5.8S ribosomal RNA (5.8S rRNA) is a component of the large subunit of the eukaryotic ribosome. It is transcribed by RNA polymerase I as part of the 45S precursor that also contains 18S and 28S rRNA.
Source: RNAcentral
AACUUUCAACAAUGGAUCUCUUGGUUCUGGCAUCGAUGAAGAACGCAGCGAAAUGCGAUAAGUAGUGUGAAUUGCAGAAUUCAGUGAAUCAUCGAAUCUUUGAACGCACAUUGCGCCCCUUGGUAUCCCAUGGGGCAUGCCUGUUCGAGCGUCAUU